RNAcentral lists this long non-coding RNA (946 nucleotides) under Homo sapiens (human). Its description in RNAcentral is "HSALNT0003404". Lineage: Eukaryota; Metazoa; Chordata; Mammalia; Primates; Hominidae. The record is from RNAcentral.
CAGAGCUCUUCUUCCCCAUCACGCCCUCCCUGGAGUGGCUCUGGCAGAGCAGGAAGCAGGUGGUGAAUGUGUCAACAGCAACUAGAAGCGACUUGGGCUAAAGGAGUCCAGAUCUCUCGAGGCCGAUGGUCAGUGCUGUCUGGUCAGCAAAGGGGAAGCUGCACUCUGCCAGGAGAAGACAGAGAAGAAAGAAGCAGCCAAAAACACGCUGCGGUGCCUUGUCCCUGCUGGCCUCAGCUUUGAAAGGAUGAUGAUGUGCUGAUGCUAGAAACAGUGAUUCAAGGCUAGAAGAACAAGAGCAGGAAAUGGAACCAGGAUGGUGGUACCAGAAAAUCGGGCUGUGCCCAAACGUGUCUCUGAGCUGCUCCUUCACCAAGAGACCCACAGGAUCACUGGCUUUUGGGUUUGGACAGGCUAGGUGUUGGCAAGAACAGGUGGAGCAUUGCUGAUUGAACAACCUUCCUAAAGAUUAUGCCCAGUGGGUAGGUCCUCGCCUCGAGCUCCUCUCUUCCUAGGUCCUGAAGCGCUGCCAUACCCCCGUUUGUUUUAGUUCCCUGAGUACUCUCUUAUUCCUCUCACUUCCGGUGACUCUGGGCCUUCCUUCCUGUUGUUCCUUCUGCCUGGAAUGCUCUUCCCCACACUCAUUUCCUAGCUGACUCCUCGCGCCUCCAGACUCAGCUGAAACUUCACUCCUCCAGGGAGGCUCCCACUGCCUGCACGUCCUCCUUCCUCCCGUGUUCAGAUUCAGCACCCUGCCAAGGGUUUGUUCCAUGGCCAUCCAACUCAACCAUUUUGGAACAUGAGGCAACCACGAGGAUGGAAGCUGUGUGCAAAGGAUGGUGAGGGAGAAAGAUACAAGGGGCUGAGGAUAUUGAGGACAUUGCAGAACCACCAUACGUGGACUCCUACUUCCUGACUUAUGUGAAAAAUAAACCUUUACCUUGUU